Long non-coding RNA from Parus major (Great Tit), 1661 nucleotides. RefSeq lists it as uncharacterized. The transcript has 2 exons. NCBI's taxonomy places the organism in Eukaryota, Metazoa, Chordata, Aves, Passeriformes, Paridae. The record is from RefSeq and is a predicted model, not a curated record.
GACGUCACGCCGGUGCCCGCCCGGUGCCCGUGUGGCGGCGGUUGCGGCGGUACCGGCGCUGAGGGAGCGGCUCGGCCCGGGGCCUCCAACGGCCGCGCGUGCGCCCGCCCGCGCCGGCGCCCAAUCAGCGCCCGUCGCGCGGGGGCUGCCGGGAAGCACCGGGGAGACGCGGCAACCGCGGCGGGAGGCGCUGGAGGGACUACAGCUCCCGGCGUGCUCCGCGAGAGAGCGCCCACAGAAACUACAGCUCCCGGCAUGCUCAGCGCGGAGGUCGCCAUAGAAACUACAGCCCCAGGCCUGGGCUGUAGGCUUGGGAAGGAAAUGAGGAGGAAGAACGGGGAAAGAAAUUGUUUCCUACAGCUACCGCCAUGCCUCGGAAGGUCCAGUGGACACUGAACUAAAAUCCUCAGAGUUCACUCAAGAAAACAACAAAUCUUGCAAGAUCCAUUCAAUUUUAAGAAGUUCUGAUCCAGCUUGGACAAAACAUCUCUUCUGCUUUAGGAAUCCCACAGUUCCCCAAGUUGUGCCUUUUGUAUCUCCCUGGAUUAGCAAACUUCAUUCAUAGCUCCAGGAAAAAAUAAUAAUAAUAAAAAAAAAUCAGUAUUUGCAUUUAAAACUUAAGGCUGAAACUGAACUGAACAACACCUUCCCAAUUUCCUGUGCAAAUAAAAACCCCUCAGGAGCUGGAAGAAAUUUGGACCCUCUUGGCUUCACUCAAGGGAAAAAAAAUCCUCCAGCUGUCACGAAGUUACAAAUCCAAGCUGCCACACUCAUAAACUGGAGGAUGAGAAGGUAUUUACCACUCAAAAGAAAGGAAAAACUGGGUUAAAGUUUGAUUUUGAAGGCUCAGCAGGGCACUCAAAUCCCUGUAAAGCCACUACAAGCUAUGGCAGGAAACUCUAAUUCCACAGUUGUUACUUUAACAGCUUCUGGAUGUUCCUGGAUCAGGAAUCCAACCCUGCCUCUUCCCAAUUUUCUGCAAGAAGCUUUUGCUUCCAACAUUUUAUUCAGCUGCUGAUUAAAGCCUGGGAGCUGAGUCACUGCAGGACUUGUGCUGCUGAGUCAGGGCGAGCUGAGCCUGCACUGUGAGACCUGACACGGCUCUUUUGAAGCCAAAACGCCCUUUCCCACAGGGAAUAUUCCACAGGGAAUCUUCCAAAGGUGGCUGGGACACACAGCCCGGCCAGGAGGGCUGACAGCUGCUCUUUGCAGUGGGGAAUUAUGCAAGUGUAAAUAAAUACACUUGAGGAACUUCAUCAGCACUAAUCUGUCAAUUAGUGCCUGCUGGGGGCAUUCCCAGCUCUUAAGUGACCUCCAAAGGCCCUUUCCAUCCAAGUUUUCACUGGGAUGGGAUGAAGUUGGUGAUUUAUAAUUUAAACUCCUCUAAAUUAGUCAUACUGCAACAAAAUAAAUGAAAUGAACUGCUGGAGUUCAUGGGGCAAACCUCAUUCCUCAUAUUUCUCCACUUCCCUGAAAUCCCAGAGGAUCCUCCCAUCUCUUCCUAACUUAAUUAACAUCUCCAGAGGAUUCUCCUAGGAAAAAAAAAUGUGUCCAGAACAACUUUAUUAAGUGGAUUGAAACCCUAGAAAAAGAAGACUAAAUCAUCUGUACUACUUAAAUAGAAAUCAAAUUAAUAAACACAUAAAAUGUGUAAAAAGACA